ACAAGCGGUGGAGCAUGUGGUUUUAAUUCGAUGAUACGCGAAGAACCUUACCAGGUCUUGACAUCCCCCGCGAUGCUUUAGAGAUAAAGCGGAGGUAUUCGGGGAGACAGGUGGUGCAUGGUUGUCGUCAGCUCGUGUCGUGAGAUGUUGGGUUAAGUCCCGCAACGAGCGCAACCCCUAUUGCUAGUUACCAUCAUUAAGUUGGGGACUCUAGCGAGACUGCCAGUGAUAAACUGGAGGAAGGUGGGGAUGACGUCAAAUCAUCAUGCCCCUUAUGACCUGGGCUACAAACGUGAUACAAUGGCUGGAACAAAGGGAUGCGAAGCAGUGAUGUGGAGCGAAACCCAUAAAAACAGUCUCAGUUCGGAUUGAAGUCUGCAACUCGACUUCAUGAAGUCGGAAUCGCUAGUAAUCGCGGAUCAGAACGCCGCGGUGAAUACGUUCUCGGGGUUU
RNAcentral lists this ribosomal RNA (453 nucleotides) under uncultured Acholeplasma sp. RNAcentral's name for it is "bacterial SSU rRNA". It matches the Rfam family "Bacterial small subunit ribosomal RNA", at positions 925 to 1382 of the family's 1533-position model. The record is from RNAcentral. Lineage: Bacteria; Bacillati; Mycoplasmatota; Mollicutes; Acholeplasmatales; Acholeplasmataceae.